This 253-nucleotide ribosomal RNA is filed under the name uncultured bacterium. RNAcentral describes it as "partial 16S ribosomal RNA". It matches the Rfam family "Bacterial small subunit ribosomal RNA", at positions 524 to 776 of the family's 1533-position model. The record is from RNAcentral.
UACGGAGGAUGCAAGCGUUAUCCGGAAUGAUUGGGCGUAAAGCGUCCGCAGGUGGCUGUGUAAGUCUGCUGUUAAAGAGUGAGGCUCAACCUCAUAAAGGCAGUGGAAACUACAUGGCUAGAGUGCGUUCGGGGCAGAGGGAAUUCCUGGUGUAGCGGUGAAAUGCGUAGAGAUCAGGAAGAACACCGGUGGCGAAAGCGCCCUGCUAGGCCGCAACUGACACUGAGCGACGAAAGCUAGGGGAGCGAAUGGG